Alosa sapidissima (American shad) is the source of this 138-nucleotide long non-coding RNA. RefSeq lists it as uncharacterized. Lineage: Eukaryota; Metazoa; Chordata; Actinopteri; Clupeiformes; Clupeidae. The transcript has 2 exons. The record is from RefSeq and is a predicted model, not a curated record.
GCCUACUAUAUAAAGGUGAGCUGGUAGUGUCCCAGCCUAAUAAUCAGGGCCGACUCUAGCCUACUAUAUAAAGGUGAGCUGGUGGAAAUAUUGGGAGGGCAAAGUGCAAAGGGCAUUUCAGAUCAAAAUGGACAUAAA